RNAcentral lists this ribosomal RNA (490 nucleotides) under uncultured bacterium. RNAcentral describes it as "partial 16S ribosomal RNA". It matches the Rfam family "Bacterial small subunit ribosomal RNA", at positions 30 to 507 of the family's 1533-position model. The record is from RNAcentral.
AUUGAACGCUGGCGGCAUGCCUUACACAUGCAAGUCGAACGGCAGCAUGAUCUAGCUUGCCAGAUUGAUGGCGAGUGGCGAACGGGUGAGUAAUACAUCGCAACGUGCCCUGUAGUGGGGGAUAACUAGUCGAAAGAUUAGCUAAUACAGCAUAUGACCUGAGGGUGGAAGUGGGGGACCGCAAGGCCUCAUGCUAUAGGGGCGGCCGAUGUCUGAUUAGCUAGUUGGUGAGGUAAAGGCUCACCAAGGCGACGAUCAGUAGCUGGUCUGAGAGGACGAUCAGCCACACUGGGACUGAGACACGGCCCAGACUCCUACGGGAGGCAGCAGUGGGGAAUUUUGGACAAUGGGCGAAAGCCUGAUCCAGCAAUGCCGCGUGUGUGAAGAAGGCCUUCGGGUUGUAAAGCACUUUUGUCCGGAAAGAAAUGGCUCUGGUUAAUACCUGGGGUCGAUGACGGUACCGGAAGAAUAAGGACCGGCUAACUACGUG